AACGAACGCUGGCGGCGUGCCUAAUACAUGCAAGUCGAACGUUAAGUGUAGCAAUACGCUGAAAGUGGCGAACGGGUGAGUAACACGUAAGUAAUCUGCCUUUAAGAUUGGGAUAACCUUGCCAACGCGGGGCUAAUACCGGAUGUGGUUGACAUGACGCAUGUUGUGUUAAUUAAAGGAGUGAUCCGCUUAAAGAUGAACUUGCGGCCCAUUAGUUAGUUGGCGGGGUAACGGCCCACCAAGACCGCGAUGGGUAGCCGGCCUGAGAGGGUGUACGGCCACAUUGGGACUGAGAUACGGCCCAGACUCCUACGGGAGGCAGCAGUAGGGAAUUUUGCGCAAUGGACGAAAGUCUGACGCAGCAACGCCGCGUGAGGGAUGAAGGUCUUCGGAUUGUAAACCUCUGUUGAAUGGGAAAAAAGUAGCAAUAUUUGAUGGUACCAUUUUGAGGAAGCACCGGCUAACUACGUG
This 471-nucleotide ribosomal RNA is filed under the name uncultured bacterium. RNAcentral describes it as "bacterial SSU rRNA". It matches the Rfam family "Bacterial small subunit ribosomal RNA", at positions 29 to 507 of the family's 1533-position model. The record is from RNAcentral.